GCGUAGGUGAACCUGCGGAAGGAUCAUUG
RNAcentral lists this ribosomal RNA (29 nucleotides) under Datura inoxia (sacred datura). RNAcentral's name for it is "partial 18S ribosomal RNA". The record is from RNAcentral. RNAcentral also lists the same sequence under 6 other names. Lineage: Eukaryota; Viridiplantae; Streptophyta; Magnoliopsida; Solanales; Solanaceae.